RNAcentral lists this long non-coding RNA (182 nucleotides) under Pan troglodytes (chimpanzee). Its description in RNAcentral is "lincRNA". Lineage: Eukaryota; Metazoa; Chordata; Mammalia; Primates; Hominidae. The record is from RNAcentral.
ACCUGACUUGGCCUGAAGAGACAGACAAUGGCUCUUGCUAGCUAAUUAUUGUCAGAUGGAUCAGCAGCCGACCAACGCUUCUGAAACUAUUGUUUUUGGCAAAUGUUCCUCAACAUUUUCCUGGGAUGGGAUUUCACCAUGUUGUCCAAGCUGGUUUUGAACUCCUGGGCUCAAGAAAUCCA